AUACGUAGGGGGCAAGCGUUAUCCGGAUUUACUGGGUGUAAAGGGAGCGUAGACGGUGUGACAAGUCUGAUGUGAAAACCCGGGGCUCAACUCCGGGAUAGCAUUGGAAACUGCCAUACUUGAGUGCAGGAGAGGUAAGCGGAAUUCCUAGUGUAGCGGUGAAAUGCGUAGAUAUUAGGAGGAACACCGGCGGCGAAGGCGGCUUACUGGACUGUAACUGACGUUGAGGCUCGAAAGCGUGGGGAGCAAACAGGAUUAGAUACCCUGGUAGUCCACGCGGUAAACGAUGAAUACUAGGUGUUGGGGGUCUAUAGACCCUCGGUGCCGCAGCAAACGCAAUAAGUAUUCCACCUGGGGAGUACGUUCGCAAGAAUGAAACUCAAAUGAAUUGACGGGG
This 397-nucleotide ribosomal RNA is filed under the name uncultured bacterium. RNAcentral's name for it is "partial 16S ribosomal RNA". It matches the Rfam family "Bacterial small subunit ribosomal RNA", at positions 523 to 918 of the family's 1533-position model. The record is from RNAcentral.